RNAcentral lists this ribosomal RNA (376 nucleotides) under uncultured organism. RNAcentral describes it as "partial 16S ribosomal RNA". It matches the Rfam family "Bacterial small subunit ribosomal RNA", at positions 527 to 897 of the family's 1533-position model. The record is from RNAcentral.
GUAGGUGGCAAGCGUUGUCCGGAAUUAUUGGGGCGUAAAGCGCGCGCAGGCGGUUCUUUAAGUCUGAUGUGAAAGCCCACGGGCUCAACCGUGGGAGGGUCAUUGGAAACUGGAGAACUUGAGUACAGAAGAGGAAAGCGGAAUUCCACGUGUAGCGGUGAAAUGCGCAGAGAUGUGGAGGAACACCAGUGGCGAAGGCGGCUUUCUGGUCUGUAACUGACGCUGAGGCGCGAAAGCGUGGGGAGCAAACAGGAUUAGAUACCCUGGUAGUCCACGCCGUAAACGAUGAGUGCUAAGUGUUAGGGGGUUUCCGCCCCUUAGUGCUGCAGCUAACGCAUUAAGCACUCCGCCUGGGGAGUACGGCCGCAAAGGCUGA